CUUCCACAUCCCCUGAUAGUCAAUAAAUUUUUUAUGGGGUUCUCUUCUUCCCAUCAGCCUGGUCCUUUGGUCCUGAUACUAUAGCCAUAUCCCAGAAUGUCUUUGCUUACACAGAUGCUCACCCUUCUCCAGUGCAAUGUAAUGCCAUGAUUUAAAUUACCCUGAAAGAUUCAAGGGGUUUCUACCUCUCUGCACCUGGGGGGGUGGGGAAAUCCAGUAUGUCUCCUCCAUAGGAAGUGGUGUUACGGCAGGUUUGGGAGGAUGAAGGAAAUGAAUGUGAUGUGAAUGUUAGUCAACCCUGGUUAAGAUGGCCUGCGGAAAAUAAUAUAGGAAACUGAUUUAUUUUUUGGUCUUUAAGUCUUGGAGAGUUUGUUUUGUUGUUGUUGCAUGUCCAAAACGACUCCUUAUUUUUCCAUAUUUGUCAGAUUAUUCAGAGCAAAUGAAGUGUGUUGUUAAAUUUCCUCUACCUACACAUCUUGCUCUUGGGCUGAGAGAUCUGAGGAUGCGAGUGAUUGCUGUCAAAGUGAUUUAGCCCUCACAUCUGAAUGCUCGUUUGGGUUUUACACCUGAAAAGAAACCCAUUACAGUAGAUAGUGUUUUAAACGCCGCAAAUGAACUCCAAACGCAGGCUAUUCUACAACCAGGGUUGAACAUUAAUGAAAAGGAAAAACAAGAAUUUUGUAUUCUGAUAUCCUUUUUGCUUAUAUAUCGAUGUGUGCGUUUUAUUUUGCACUUUGGGAUAUUUCAUUGUCAUAAAAGAAGUUUAUUUUCUAUGUCAAAUUUAACAUGUAAGAGUAAAAUAAAUAUAAUUAAAAGUUGAAAUGAUGUAUAAAUAUAGUGCUUUCUUUCCUGCCUGUAUUUUAUUAUUUUUCCUAUUUUGUAUCUGAUCUGUACACCCUGUAGAUGUAUAAUGAAUCUUUCACUACUGAAAUGCAAUGACCUGUUUUCUGUGCUGCCCCUUGGGAAUGGGGAGUUACUACUGCAGUUUCUUAUUGUAUCAGAUUCUUUUUUAAGUUUGUAAUAAAAAAAACUGAUUGGCAAAAAAA
Molecule: long non-coding RNA, 1046 nt
Organism: Etheostoma cragini (Arkansas darter)
Lineage: Eukaryota; Metazoa; Chordata; Actinopteri; Perciformes; Percidae
Exons: 2
Source: RefSeq, a predicted model, not a curated record